GUGAGGAAUUUUCCGCAAUGGGCGAAAGCCUGACGGAGCAAUGCCGCGUGAAGGAUGAAGGCCUUAGGGUUGUAAAGCUCUUUCAGUGGGGACGAUAAUGACGGUACCCACAGAAGAAGCCCCGGCUAACUUCGUGCCAGCAGCCGCGGUAAUACGAAGGGGGCUAGCGUUGUUCGGAUUUACUGGGCGUAAAGCGCACGUAGGCGGAUCGUUAAGUCGGGGGUGAAAUCCUGGAGCUCAACUCCAGAACUGCCUUCGAUACUGGCGAUCUUGAGUCCGGAAGGGGUGAGUGGAACUCCUAGUGUAGAGGUGGAAUUCGUAGAUAUUAGGAAGAACACCAGUGGCGAAGGCGGCUCACUGGCUCGAUACUGACGCUGAGGUGCGAAAGCGUGGGGAGCAAACAGGAUUAGAUACCCGUGUAGUCC
This 425-nucleotide ribosomal RNA is filed under the name uncultured bacterium. Its description in RNAcentral is "partial 16S ribosomal RNA". It matches the Rfam family "Bacterial small subunit ribosomal RNA", at positions 354 to 796 of the family's 1533-position model. The record is from RNAcentral.